GACGAACGCUGGCGGCGUGCUUAACACAUGCAAGUCGAACGGACAGACAGAGAGCUUGCUCUCUUGAAGUUAGUGGCGAACGGGUGAGUAACGCGUAAUCAACCUGCCCUUCAGAGGGGGAUAACAACGGGAAACCGUUGCUAAUACCGCGUACGAUUCAUGAACGGCAUCGUUUAUGAAUGAAAGGUGGCCUCUAUGUAUAAGCUAUCGCUGAAGGAGGGGAUUGCGUCUGAUUAGCUAGUUGGAGGGGUAACGGCUCACCAAGGCAAUGAGCAGUGGCCGGCCGGAGAGGAUGAACGGCCACAUUGGGACUGAGACACGGCCCAAACUCCUACGGGAGGCAGCAGUGGGGAAUCUUCCGCAAUGGACGAAAGUCUGACGGAGCAACGCCGCGUGAGUGAUGAAGGUCUUCGGAUUGUAAAGCUCUGUUAAUCGGGACGAAAGAGUUCUGCGUGAAUAAUGCAGAAAAGCGACGGUACCGGAAUAGAAAGCCACGGCUAACUACGUGCCAGCAGCCGCAGUAA
Molecule: ribosomal RNA, 524 nt
Filed under: uncultured bacterium
Lineage: Bacteria
Description: partial 16S ribosomal RNA
Rfam family: Bacterial small subunit ribosomal RNA
Source: RNAcentral